CAAUAGCGUAUAUUAAAGUUGUUGCAGUUAAAAAGCUCGUAGUUGGAUUUCGGUUAAGAGCGACCGGUCCGCCGUUUGGUGUGCACUGGUUGGUUUUAACUUCCUGUAGAGGACGUGCUCUGGGUUUAACGACUUGGACUCGGAGUCUACGUGGUUACUUUGAAAAAAUUAGAGUGUUCAAAGCGGGCUUACGCUUGAAUAUUUCAGCAUGGAAUAACACUAUAGGACUCCUGUCCUAUUUCGUUGGUCUCGGGACGGGAGUAAUGAUUAAGAGGAACAGUUGGGGGCAUUCGUAUUUCAUUGUCAGAGGUGAAAUUCUUGGAUUUAUGAAAGACGAACUUCUGCGAAAGCAUUUGCCAAGGAUGUUUUCAUUAA
RNAcentral lists this ribosomal RNA (375 nucleotides) under uncultured eukaryote. Its description in RNAcentral is "partial 18S ribosomal RNA". It matches the Rfam family "Eukaryotic small subunit ribosomal RNA", at positions 592 to 976 of the family's 1831-position model. The record is from RNAcentral.